ACAGGCGCCUGCCACCUCGCCCGGCUAAGUUUUUGUAUUUUUAGUAGAGACGGGGUUUCACCGUGUUAGCCAGGAUGGUCUCGAUCUCCUGACCUCAUGAUCCGCCCGUCUCGGCCUCCCAAAGUGCUGGGAUUACAGGCUUGAGCCACCGCGCCCGGCCGAAAUGAUGUUCUUUCUGUCUCUUUCAGUUGUGGCCAGCUUACUUUGUGUUUCAGAUAGGCAGUACAGUUCAUGCAGGAUGACAAGGAGGCUGCUGGGGUUUGGGAGUGGUGUGUUCUGGGAAGUUGGAGGUCUCUUUUGUGUAUUUCUGGGGUGCAUAUUGGAACGUGAGGAGACCACAAUUUUGUGUAAGUUGUGUUGUGGAGCAAAGAUUUGAUGCGUGGAAGACACACUAGAUGGGUGAUACUUUGCCACAUCUACACUUAUCCUGGAGUGUGUGUGUGUGUUUUUUUGUGUGUGUGUGUGUGGUUUUCUAAAGAUGCUGGUGAACUGAGAUACUUCUGAGAGAGCCAAUGUACUACAUGGACUAAGGGAAUAGGACCUUGAUGUCACAAGUAUUUCUCUGGAGCCUGCCACAUCAUUGCUGUUAGGGUUUAGGGUUUCUGGUUCUCUAAGCUCUGACAGAGAGAUAAACCUAACUGAGCUUGUGAUAAUGAGGAUUUACCCUACUGGCUUCUAAUGUGGAUACAAAAUAGUGAAGGUGAAAAGUGGUACGUGUUUCCCAGAUUGAAGGGUAGGUAAUUUCUGUCUCAGCACUGAAGACUUGGAGUCAGACGCAGAAAGUUCUUCCGCUUUCUGUGAGUCUCUAGGAAGAUUACUUGACCUGCUGCGCACCAGUUUUCUCAUCAGUAAACUGGAGAUGCCACUACCCGUUCUAUAGGCUCUGGCAAGCAUUGCAUUAAAUGACAGAUGGGAAAGUGCUUUCUAGCUGGUCACCGCCUAGAAAGGCGGUUGCAGAUGGUCACCUGUAUCUUGAGAAGACACAGGCACUUUGUAUGUAUUAUUCAGGUGUGUAUUUAAAGCCAAGGCUGAUCCCAAUAAGGUACAGUAAUGUAUAAGAUUGAUACUUUCACAGACUGAAGAAAACAUUUCCACUUUAAUCCCAAACUCCAGACCUAUCCUCUCCCUUGAAAAAGCUUAGAAAUGAUGUCUCUAGAGCUGGGCACUAAGAAGGAUGGAAGAUGUGUUCAGCUAAGAGGACCUAAAUCCUGAUUAGCUGCAGAGAAAAUGACCAGCUCUGCAGCUUCUGGGGCACAUUUGAGGGGCAUCUCUCCAGGAGGACAUAGCACCAAGCAUCACUUGAUUUACUGAUCUUCCCACUUCCACCCCUGCCCGGAGUUCCCAUGGCUGCCAUGAACUGGGAAGUGGAAAUGCAGCAGUUGGGCUGUGAGAACCUCCUGGGUCUCCUACUGGUGACUUCCUCCUAUAAAUCAGCCACAGACAGCUGCAUCCACUCGCACCAUGGGAUAAAAAAAUAGACCCUGUUGCUAGACAGCAACACAGGCUCCACAAACACCGUGGGGUCAGAGGGCAAGGGGUCUUAAGCCAGGCACUAGCCAAGCAGGCCCGGCAGCCCCGUGGAUCCAUUUGUUUAUUUUCACAGUGGCAUUGCCUGUCUGUGCUACACGAAGGAGGGAGACUCCCUUGCCCCUCUCUCUGCAUGUGUAGGCCACUUGCUGCUCACCACCAGAAAGGCCCGCUGACCUGCUGGCUAGUUUAUUUAUUUUGGUUGCACAUAGACUGUCUGCUAGGUCUAAGUUUCGAAGCUGAUGGGGAAGUCAUCAAGUCUUGUACAGAGUAUUUAGCGAUUGAAUUUUAUCUGGUCCAUUGAAUAUCUGACUGAACAAGAAACGGACUCACAACCUCCCCUCCUUCAGCACCUCCCUCCAGGGCCUUCUGUUCAAGUCAGCAUCUGACCCACCGAGAGAAACAGGCUUAUGAUGGCUGUGAGUUUGGGCUCUCCUUCUUCCUUUGACUUGAAUCAAUCUCUGAAAAUAACUUUUACAACAUUUUAUCAUGGCAAUUUCAAAACAAGUUGAAGCGGAGCGAUUUUUACAGUGAACCCUGUAAACUCAUCUAGAUUCUACCAUUAACAUAACACUAC
Molecule: long non-coding RNA, 2104 nt
Filed under: Macaca fascicularis (crab-eating macaque)
Lineage: Eukaryota; Metazoa; Chordata; Mammalia; Primates; Cercopithecidae
Description: lncRNA (ENSMFAG00000061043.1)
Source: RNAcentral